This 517-nucleotide ribosomal RNA is filed under the name uncultured bacterium. Its description in RNAcentral is "bacterial SSU rRNA". It matches the Rfam family "Bacterial small subunit ribosomal RNA", at positions 15 to 518 of the family's 1533-position model. The record is from RNAcentral.
GAUCCUGGCUUAGGACGAACGCUGGCGGCGUGCCUAACACAUGCAAGUCGAGCGGGGACAUACGACGGAGCAGAAGUUUCGGAUGGAAGCGAAGAUGUAUGUUCUAGCGGCGGACGGGUGAGUAACGCGUGAGCAACCUGUCCUUCACAGGGGGAUAACACAGCGAAAGUUGUACUAAUACCGCAUAAGACCACAUUGGGACAUCCCAGAGGGGUCAAAGGAGCAAUCCGGUGAAGGGUGGGCUCGCGUCCGAUUAGAUAGUUGGUGAGGUAACGGCCCACCAAGUCGACGAUCGGUAGCCGACCUGAGAGGGUGAUCGGCCACAUUGGGACUGAGACACGGCCCAAACUCCUACGGGAGGCAGCAGUGGGGAAUAUUGGGCAAUUGGGGGGAAACCCUGACCCAGCAACGCCGCGUGAGGGAAGAAGGUUUUCGGAUCGUAAACCUCUGUCCUUGGUGAAGAGGAAGAGACGGUAGCCAAGGAGGAAGCCCCGGCUAACUACGUGCCAGCCGCAGC